UACCAAGCACCGCCCACCAGCUGCAGCAAACUCUCUCAAUAUAAUAUCUGUAAAACAUGAUAUGAGAUCAUUACAAUACAAGUGAGAACAUGACUACCACAAAUACUUUUACACUGAAUACCUUGUAAGCAAUUUGAUUCUGCUGGCAAAAUAUUAUUUACACAAAUGUAGAUCUCUUCCUGAUUCUGAAGCAUUUAAAGCAUUUUAUAAUCCUUUAGACGUUAAUUCAUUAAAACUACUUGACUCCCUCGAAUUGUAUUUCUCUCUCACUUUUAUAAGACAGGUUGUCCUUUUUAUCAUUUAUUUUGAUUAUUUUACUUCCUAAUUUAAAUGAUUUUGUGACGGCUCCCUUACGUUCCCCACUCUUCAUGUGUCUUCCAUGUCCCCAGUUUGCCUCUCUGUGUUUCCCUUUCAUGUCGUUGUCUCUCUGUGGUUGUGUGUGUUGUUCCUGUCUCCACUCUCCCGGCUCCCUGAUUGCUGCUGAGCUGUUUCACCUGCUCCAAACCAAACACCUGCAAUACAUCAACUCAUCAGCCCUGCAGCAUAUCAACCCUGGCUUUCCUACCAGUCCUCGUCACAUCGUCCCAUCAGCUGUGGUGGAUCAUCAUCUACAGCCUGCCACCUCAUCAUCCUGCCUGCUCUCUCACCUUGCAUUCCAAGUCAGCAAACCUCGCCUUUCCCUCCUCGUUCCCUCACCUCACCAUCUCCAAAUAUUGCUCAACGCUCCCUGCCCUCUGCCUCAAACAGCUACCUCCUCGUGCAUUCCACCUCCAUUCCCCCCUUAUCCCCUUAAAAUAAAUCCCUUUUACUUCACCGA
This is a long non-coding RNA of Sebastes umbrosus (honeycomb rockfish), 817 nucleotides long. RefSeq lists it as uncharacterized. The transcript has 2 exons. The record is from RefSeq and is a predicted model, not a curated record. NCBI's taxonomy places the organism in Eukaryota, Metazoa, Chordata, Actinopteri, Perciformes, Sebastidae.